Molecule: long non-coding RNA, 505 nt
Filed under: Ficedula albicollis (Collared flycatcher)
Lineage: Eukaryota; Metazoa; Chordata; Aves; Passeriformes; Muscicapidae
Description: lncRNA (ENSFALG00000023500.1)
Source: RNAcentral
AAAUGUGGAGGUGGAAACAUUGCCUGUGAGUUUCCUGACACUCUCCAUCCACUGCAAAGACACCCUGCUGUUUUUCCAAUUCCUCCAGGACCGGGAAGCACAAGAGAGCCUACCCUGGAUGACACAAAACAAUGCAUGAAAACAGCUGAGGUUGCUGUGAAAGAGCAAGCUGGGGGAUGAGUGCCAGUUCAGCUGCUUUGUUGCAUCUCUGCACCUGCACAGAGCAGAGUAGGGCAGCUGCGGACAGGGUGCAUCUGUGCGUGUGAGGUCAAGGUCACUGAUCCUUGUUCACAUGAAUCAUUCUCAGCGCUCAUGAAAAACACCCCUGAGAACAUCCCAGCGUGUUGGAGCACCAAUAGCUUCGGCAGGCUCCUGCCACUCCUGAGUCACCUCUGCCAGCCAGAACUCACAGGGAAGGUGCUGUAGGAGGACUUGCCGGCGGGCAGGAGGAGGUUUGUGCCGAAGGCUGUCAUUCCCCUAGCGCGGAAUUCUUCUGAUCCCAGGA